GAUGAACGCUGGCGGCGUGCCUAAUACAUGCAAGUCGAGCGAACAGACGAGGAGCUUGCUCCUCUGACGUUAGCGGCGGACGGGUGAGUAACACGUGGAUAACCUACCUAUAAGACUGGGAUAACUUCGGGAAACCGGAGCUAAUACCGGAUAAUAUAUUGAACCGCAUGGUUCAAUAGUGAAAGACGGUUUUGCUGUCACUUAUAGAUGGAUCCGCGCCGCAUUAGCUAGUUGGUAAGGUAACGGCUUACCAAGGCAACGUUGCGUAGCCGACCUGAGAGGGGUAUCCGCCCAAACGGAACCGAAACACGGGCCAAGCCCCUAAGGGAGGCAGCAGUAGGGAAUCUUCCGCAAUGGGCGAAAGCCUGACGGAGCAACGCCGCGUGAGUGAUGAAGGUCUUCGGAUCGUAAAACUCUGUUAUUAGGGAAGAACAAAUGUGUAAGUAACUAUGCACGUCUUGACGGUACCUAAUCAGAAAGCCACGGCUAACUACGUG
RNAcentral lists this ribosomal RNA (497 nucleotides) under uncultured bacterium. Its description in RNAcentral is "partial 16S ribosomal RNA". It matches the Rfam family "Bacterial small subunit ribosomal RNA", at positions 28 to 507 of the family's 1533-position model. The record is from RNAcentral.